Molecule: ribosomal RNA, 556 nt
Filed under: uncultured archaeon
Lineage: Archaea
Description: bacterial SSU rRNA
Rfam family: Archaeal small subunit ribosomal RNA
Source: RNAcentral
AUUACGGGGCGCAGCAGGCGCGAAAACUUUACCAUGCGGGCAACCGUGAUAAGGAAACCCCGAGUGCCAGCACAGGCUGGCUGUCCACCAGUGUAAAUAACUGGUGAAGAAAGGGCCGGGCAAGACCGGUGCCAGCCGCCGCGGUAAUACCGGCGGCUCGAGUGGUGGCCGCUAUUACUGGGCUUAAAGGGUCCGUAGCUGGAUAUACAAGUCCCUUGAGAAAUCCGCCGGCUUAACCGGUGGGCGUUCAGGGGAAACUGUAUUUCUAGGGACCGGGAGAGGUGAGAGGUACUGCCGGGGUAGGAGUGAAAUCCUGUAAUCCCGGUGGGACCACCUAUGGCGAAGGCAUCUCACCAGAACGGGUCCGACAGUGAGGGACGAAAGCUGGGGGAGCAAACCGGAUUAGAUACCCGGGUAGUCCCAGCUGUAAACGAUGCGCGUUAGGUGUGUCAGUGACCACGUGUCACUGAGGUGCCGAAGGGAAACCGUGAAACGCGCCGCCUGGGGAGUACGGUCGCAAGGCUGAAACUUAAAGGAAUUGGCGGGGGAGCACAAU